UCGGUACAGAUGUACCGAUUAAACAUGUGCAGUGAGCCACUGCAACGGCAGCUGCAUAAAUCCUGUAUGGGCCGAUCCACAUCUCACGGUAGGCACCAAAUGAUUACAAGGAG
RNAcentral lists this non-coding RNA (113 nucleotides) under uncultured Faecousia sp. Its description in RNAcentral is "FTHFS RNA". It matches the Rfam family "FTHFS RNA". The record is from RNAcentral. Lineage: Bacteria; Bacillati; Bacillota; Clostridia; Eubacteriales; Oscillospiraceae.